GACGAACGCUGGCGGCGUGCUUAACACAUGCAAGUCGAACGGAAAGGCCCUGCUUUUGUGGGGUGCUCGAGUGGCGAACGGGUGAGUAACACGUGAGUAACCUGCCCUUGACUUUGGGAUAACUUCAGGAAACUGGGGCUAAUACCGGAUAGGAGCUCCUGCUGCAUGGUGGGGGUUGGAAAGUUUCGGCGGUUGGGGAUGGACUCGCGGCUUAUCAGCUUGUUGGUGGGUUAGUGGCUUACCAAGGCUUUGACGGGUAGCCGGCCUGAGAGGGUGACCGGCCACAUUGGGACUGAGAUACGGCCCAGACUCCUACGGGAGGCAGCAGUGGGGAAUAUGGCACAAUGGGCGGAAGCCUGAUGCAGCAACGCCGCGUGCGGGAUAACGGCCUUCGGGUUGUAAACCGCUUUCGCCUGUGACGAAGCGUGAGUGACGGUAAUGGGUAAAGAAGCACCGGCUAACUACGUG
This 468-nucleotide ribosomal RNA is filed under the name uncultured bacterium. RNAcentral describes it as "partial 16S ribosomal RNA". It matches the Rfam family "Bacterial small subunit ribosomal RNA", at positions 28 to 507 of the family's 1533-position model. The record is from RNAcentral.